UCAAGCGACUAAGUGUAUGUGGUGGAUGCCUUGGCGAUCACAGGCGAUGAAGGACGUGACAGCCUGCGAAAAGCUGUGGGGAGCUGGCAAAUAAGCUUUGAUCCACAGAUGUCCGAAUGAGGGAACUCACCUGCUUUGCAGGUAUCCCAUCCUGAAUAUAUAGGGAUGGGAGGCGAACGAAGCGAACUGAAACAUCUAAGUAGCUUCAGGAAAAGAAAUCAACCGAGAUUCCGAAAGUAGCGGCGAGCGAAAUCGGAUCAGCCCAGCACUCGAUAGCAGCCAACUUACGGGAACGGUCUGGAAAGUCCGGCCAUAGAGGGUGAUAGCCCCUUACUGGAAAAGGCAGCUGCGGUACUAAGUGUGCGAUAAGUAGAGCGGGACACGUGACAUCCUGCUCGAAGAUGGGGGGACCAUCCUCCAAGGCUAAAUACUCGUGAUCGACCGAUAGCGUACCAGUACUGUGAAGGAAAGGUUAAAAGAACCCCGGGAGGGGAGUGAAAUAGAUCCUGAAACCGCAUACAUACAAACAGUAGGAGCCUCGUUAAGGGGUGACUGCGUACCUUUUGCAUAAUGGGUCAGCGACUUACGUUUAAUGGCGAGCUUAACCGUAUAGGGGAGGCGCAGCGAAAGCGAGUUCGAACAGAGCGUUCAGUCGUUAGGCGUAGACCCGAAACCAGAUGAUCUAUCCAUGGCCAGGUUGAAGGUGUGGUAACACACACUGGAGGACCGAACCGACUAGUGUUGCAAAAUUAGCGGAUGAGCUGUGGAUAGGGGUGAAAGGCUAAACAAAUCUGGAGAUAGCUGGUUCUCCCCGAAAACUAUUGAGGUAGUGCCUCGUGUAUGACUCCAGGGGGUAGAGCACUGUUAUGGCUAGGGGGACAUGGCGUCUUACCAAACCAUGGCAAACUCCGAAUACUUGGAAGUUUGAGCACGGGAGACAGAGCACCGGGUGCUAACGUCCGGACUCAAGAGGGAAACAACCCAGACCGCCGGCUAAGGUCCCUAAUAUUGACUAAGUGGAAAACGAAGUGGAAAGGCUAAGACAGUCAGGAAGUUGGCUUAGAAGCAGCCAUCCUUCAAAGAAAGCGUAAUAGCUCACUGAUCGAGUCUUUCUGCGCGGAAGAUGUAACGGGGCUAAGUCAAUAACCGAAGCCGCGGAUUCACACUUGUGUGUGAGUGGUAGGGGAGCGUUCUGUAAGCCUGCGAAGGUGACUCGUAAGGGUUGCUGGAGGUAUCAGAAGUGCGAAUGCUGACAUGAGUAACGUUAAAGCGGGUGAAAAGCCCGCUCGCCGUAAGCCCAAGGUUUCCUGCUCUACGUUCAUCGGAGCAGGGUGAGUCGGCCCCUAAGGUGAGGCUGAGAAGCGUAACUGAUGGGAACAAGGUUAAUAUUCCUUGACCACCGCUGAAUGCGAAGGGGGGACGGAGUAUUGAAGAUCAUCCGGGUGUUGGAUAUCCCGGUUUGCGAGCGUAGGAGGCUGACAGGCAAAUCCGUCAGCGAAUCUCCGAGGCAAAGCAUCGAGCUCUCUUUUGAGCGAAGUGAUUGGAUGUGCUUCCAGGAAAAGCCUCUAAGCUCCAGUUCAGCGGGACCGUACCGCAAACCGACACUGGUGGGCGAGCUGAAUAUGCUCAGGCGCUUGAGAGAACUCAGGAGAAGGAACUCGGCAAAUUGACACCGUAACUUCGGGAUAAGGUGUGCCUUUGUAGCGUGGAGGGAGAAACACCCCGAGCGCGAAGAGGUCUCAGAUAAUCGGUGGCUGCGACUGUUUAUUAAAAACACAGCACUCUGCAAAGACGAAAGUCGACGUAUAGGGUGUGAUGCCUGCCCGGUGCUGGAAGAUUAAUUGAUGGGGUGCAAGCUCCUGAUCGAAGUCCCAGUAAACGGCGGCCGUAACUAUAACGGUCCUAAGGUAGCGAAAUUCCUUGUCGGGCAAGUUCCGACCUGCACGAAUGG
This 1951-nucleotide ribosomal RNA is filed under the name human gut metagenome. RNAcentral describes it as "bacterial LSU rRNA". It matches the Rfam family "Bacterial large subunit ribosomal RNA", at positions 3 to 1999 of the family's 2925-position model. The record is from RNAcentral.